This 450-nucleotide ribosomal RNA is filed under the name uncultured bacterium. RNAcentral describes it as "bacterial SSU rRNA". It matches the Rfam family "Bacterial small subunit ribosomal RNA", at positions 354 to 796 of the family's 1533-position model. The record is from RNAcentral.
GUGGGGAAUAUUGGACAAUGGGCGAAAGCCUGAUCCAGCCAUGACGCGUGUGUGAAGAAGGUCUUCGGAUUGUAAAGCACUUUAAGUUGGGAGGAAGGGCAGUAAGUUAAUACCUUGCUGUUUUGACGUUACCGACAGAAUAAGCACCGGCUAACUUCGUGCCAGCAGCCGCGGUAAUACGAAGGGUGCAAGCGUUAAUCGGAAUUACUGGGCGUAAAGCGCGCGUAGGUGGUUUUGUAAGUUGGAGGUGAAAUCCCCGGGCUCAACCUGGGAACUGCCUCCAAAACUGCAUGACUAGAGUACGGUAGAGGGUAGUGGAAUUUCCUGUGUAGCGGUGAAAUGCGUAGAUAUAGGAAGGAACACCAGUGGCGAAGGCGACUACCUGGACUGAUACUGACACUGAGGUGCGAAAGCGUGGGGAGCAAACAGGAUUAGAUACCCCGGUAGUCC